Molecule: small RNA, 96 nt
Filed under: Marmota monax (woodchuck)
Lineage: Eukaryota; Metazoa; Chordata; Mammalia; Rodentia; Sciuridae
Source: RNAcentral
GCCAGGUGUGGUGGUGCACACCUAUAACCCCAGCUACUCGGGAGGCUGGGGCAGGAGAAUGGAAAGCCUGAGCAACUUAGCCAGACCCUGUCUCAA